Felis catus (domestic cat) is the source of this 85-nucleotide transfer RNA. It matches the Rfam family "tRNA". From Rfam's summary of the family: Transfer RNA (tRNA) molecules are approximately 80 nucleotides in length. Their secondary structure includes four short double-helical elements and three loops (D, anti-codon, and T loops). Further hydrogen bonds mediate the characteristic L-shaped molecular structure. tRNAs have two regions of fundamental functional importance: the anti-codon, which is responsible for specific mRNA codon recognition, and the 3' end, to which the tRNAs corresponding amino acid is attached (by aminoacyl-tRNA synthetases). tRNAs cope with the degeneracy of the genetic code in two manners: having more than one tRNA (with a specific anti-codon) for a particular amino acid; and 'wobble' base-pairing, i.e. permitting non-standard base-pairing at the 3rd anti-codon position. Lineage: Eukaryota; Metazoa; Chordata; Mammalia; Carnivora; Felidae. The record is from Rfam.
GCCUGGGUGGCUCAGUCGGUUGAGCGUCCGACUUCGGCUCGGGUCAUGAUCUCACGGUCCGUGAGUUCGAGCCCCGCGUCGGGCU